This 72-nucleotide transfer RNA is filed under the name Chitinophagaceae bacterium. RNAcentral describes it as "tRNA-Arg". It matches the Rfam family "tRNA". Rfam says of the family: Transfer RNA (tRNA) molecules are approximately 80 nucleotides in length. Their secondary structure includes four short double-helical elements and three loops (D, anti-codon, and T loops). Lineage: Bacteria; Pseudomonadati; Bacteroidota; Chitinophagia; Chitinophagales; Chitinophagaceae. RNAcentral also lists the same sequence under 1 other name. The record is from RNAcentral.
GGACCGAUAGUAUAACGGAUAGUACAGCAGGCUUCGAACCUGUUAAUGGGGGUUCGAUUCCCUCUCGGUCCG